Molecule: unclassified non-coding RNA, 2801 nt
Filed under: Eufriesea mexicana
Lineage: Eukaryota; Metazoa; Arthropoda; Insecta; Hymenoptera; Apidae
Description: dorsal-ventral patterning tolloid-like protein 1, transcript variant X1
Source: RNAcentral
ACGUAAUUUUGAGAUUAUUAUAAUACGAAGUGUGUACACAUAUUCAAUAUUCAAUUUUAAAUACAAUCUUUUAAGAUGAUCUUCAGGAUUGAUAUUUCAUAUUUUUUCUGUGCAUGGGAUAGAAACUGACAAUAUGGUAAAAUCAUAGUUAUCACAUUUAAUGGCUUUUCUACAAUUUUGUCGUAAUAUCAUAAAAAAAGAAGUAUAUCACGAUUUUAAUCGAAAGACCGACUGAGCAAAAUGCAAAUAUAUAUACCUAGGAUGCAGUAUGGCUUCGGUAUUCUGGCAUGCUCCUGGAAAUAAUUUCGUUUCUGUCGCUUUAAUCUUGUUCUUGCUACAAUGCCCUCAUAUCAGUACAGAAUGCGAUCAAAAGUUUAUAAGCACGCCAGAUGGCCCACUAAAUGGAACCUUUCAUGCUCCGAUGUUAAUUAAUCCUGAAAGAGAUUCCCGGCAGUGCGUGUAUACAUUUUUCGCUGGACCGCGACAACGAGUCGAAUUGAUAUUUAAUUCAUUCGGCCUACGAGGAACACCGCCAGAUGGAGCUGCUGUUGGAGAGUUACCCGCUUGUGUUCAUGAGUAUAUGGACUUGUAUGCAGAAAUACGAUCGGAGAAUACCAGCAAAUUGGUAGAAACACCAUUCGGUGGACGGUUUUGCGGUCCAAUUCCACCUCGCAGGCGUGUUUCUCUUUAUCAAGGAAUCGCUCUUAGUUUCUACACCGAUAAGAAUAUUACGUUGCCUAGCCUGUUCAACGGCACUUACGCAUUUAUCAAUGCAUCUGAAUACGAAAUAGGGACACCAGCUCCUGGCACACCGUGUUCUUUCACGGUAGACUCGGAAUACAAACGUAAUGGUAAUAUACUAUCUCCUACGUAUCCGGGAACAUACCCUAAGGGUCUUACGUGUAGUUACCAAUUUAUCGGAAAACCAAGUCAACGAGUACGUCUUGAAUUCCGAGAUUUCGACUUAUUCUUUGGGGGCCAACAUUGUCCUUUAGAUUACGUGAAAGUGUACGAUGGUUUAAACACUACAUCAGCGGUUAUAGGAACAUAUUGUGGUCAACAACGAAAUUUGGUAUUAUAUUCGUCGGAAUCUAGUUUAUAUGUGCUAUUUGUUACUCUUCAACGUACAGCAAACUCACAAAAUCGUGGAUUCAAGGGAAUCUUUGAAUUUUCCGAGAGUUUUGUUAAAUUGGACUUCAUAACCGCUUACAAGGGUGAGCACAUUCGUGGAUCGGAAUGUGAUCAAAAGAUUUUGAGUGGAAAGGAAUCCUUUGGAGACGUUGUCAGUCCGAACUAUCCAUAUCCGUAUAUACCGAAAGUCGUGUGUCGGUAUUUCAUCUAUGGAAUGCAAGAUUCACAACAUCUCGAGCGCGUUAGAUUAGAAUUCGUGGUAUUUAAGAUACCAAAGAAUAAGACAACAGGAGACUCAUCUUGUCCCGAUGGAUAUUUAAAGUUAUACUUGAAAGGACAAGAAGCGACAGAUUCUUAUGACAAAUUCGAUCACGAAUUGUGCGGUGUGGAAAUCAAUCCGCGCUAUGUAGUUAGCGAUGGCCCGAGGCUCGUGAUGGUAUUCAGUAGUGGUGAAUCUCAAGGGCAAGGUUUUAAAGCACGAUACAGCUUUGAAACGGAAUAUAAAAUACCAGGUACCGCAGCACCUGAUGGUAGCUGUACCUUCACAUACCUCAGUUCCUCUCGCAAGAAAGGAGAUUUUAAUUCUCCACGACAUCCUAGUAACUAUCCAAGCGACACAAAUUGCACGUAUUUAUUCUUAGCAACGCCGAACGAGCAAGUUACUCUAAUAUUUGAUUAUUUUAAAGUUCGAACAAAAAAUACGAAUAUAACGGUUGGACAUUAUGGAGUAGACGUUUGCCAAGAUGACUGGUUAGAGAUAUACAAUAUGUAUCGAGACAGUACAGAAAAACUGAUAGGUAGAUACUGCGGUAGUACUGCUCCAGGGCCAGUGGAAUCUAAUCUCGGCGCUCUCGGUUUAAGAGUAAUUCUGCAUUCGGACUCUGAGUUGGUUUAUAGUGGUUUCAAAGCGCGCUACACAUUUGAAGUAGCAAAACCUAUUUCUGGAGAUUGCGGAUCGAAUAUAAGCAGUGUAAAUUACGGAAUUAUUACUAGUCCGAAUUUUCCAAAUAAAUACGAUGGACCCGCAAGAAAUCUUGCUAGCAAAACUUGCAAUUGGUUUAUAAGAGUCCGACCGAAUCAGCGGAUACUACUAAAUUUUGAACUGUUUUCAGUAGAGGGUGAUCAAUCAGUACGUGGUUGUCCAGCCGCAGUGCUGCGCAUGUGGUAUUCUGCAUCAUCUACACCCAUUGAAUUGUGUGGCGUUAAAACGUCAGACGUUAAAACGUCAGACGUUAAAUGGACUUACCUUUCUGAGGAUAAUAACAUGCGACUUAGCUUCAUAUUGGCUGACAAAGCAGUUGGACAACAAGGAUUUAGGGCCACGUGGACUGAAGUAAGCACAAAUACCGACUGCCAGAAUCAAUUUUUCUGCAGUAAAAGUAAAUACUGCAUUGCAGAGUCGCUUCGGUGUAAUAACAUUUCUAAUUGUGGCCCAGCCGAUACUUCAGAUGAAGAAAACUGUGCAGCAUCAGCCCCAUUGUCACCAGCACUGGCUGGAGUCUCUGCCAUGCUUCUUCUCUCUCUGUGCUUUGUGUUCGUGGCCAUCUGAGCCCUUCAUGAAGCUUCCGACGAUCCGGCAUGUUAUGAUCUCCCCUAUCACGUGAUACAGAUGUACAGACGAAUAAUUAUGCUGUCCCCGCGGGUUAUGCCAUCGGUACUGUAUUGAUAGC